RNAcentral lists this ribosomal RNA (253 nucleotides) under uncultured bacterium. Its description in RNAcentral is "partial 16S ribosomal RNA". It matches the Rfam family "Bacterial small subunit ribosomal RNA", at positions 524 to 776 of the family's 1533-position model. The record is from RNAcentral.
UACGGGGGGGGCAAGCGUUGUUCGGAAUUACUGGGCGUAAAGGGCGCGUAGGCGGCCUUCUAAGUCGGACGUGAAAUCCCUCGGCUUAACCGAGGAACUGCGUCCGAUACUGAAAGGCUUGAAUCCGGGAGAGGGAUGCAGAAUUCCAGGUGUAGCGGUGAAAUGCGUAGAUAUCUGGAGGAAUACCGGUGGCGAAGGCGGCAUCCUGGACCGGCAUUGACGCUGAGGAGCGAAAGCCAGGGGAGCAAACGGG